Paramuricea clavata is the source of this 751-nucleotide non-coding RNA. NCBI's taxonomy places the organism in Eukaryota, Metazoa, Cnidaria, Anthozoa, Malacalcyonacea, Plexauridae. The record is from the annotation of a GenBank genome assembly.
UAUUAGAGGACGUGGUUUGAUUAUAUUACAUCGAUUCAGGUCAGUUUGGCUACUGUUUCCUCUACUGAUGCUUUGUUCGAUGCUUUGCAUGGCCACUUUACACAACAUUCUGUCCAAGGAACAAUCAAGAUAAACUUUUAGAAUGUUUUUAUAUGGCUUGAUUCCUCGUUUGUGUGAGCAGCUAUAAAAUUGUGAGAACUAUAAAGUAGCAAAUAUAUUCCUGAGCAUAUUUGAUCGGAUUUUUAUAAAACACUACACCAGCAAAAUGUCGGCAUUGUUGGAAAAUGCUGUGAUUUUUCGUGAAGUUCAACCCUCGAACUCUGCACAGAAACUGUACGGAAAAUAUAGUUAAACUUUAUUUAACAGUUGGAGCAUUUUCCUACACCAGAGACUUUAUUACUAUUAAAGAUGCGGCAUGUACAGUCCAAUCUGUGCAUGUGCACAAAGGAGCCCUCUUUUUAUUUACAAACAGUUUAUUUAGGUUUUUAUUUCAUUUUAUGUUCUUGCAAAGCUUGAUUGUUGUCUCUUGAUAAUUUCUAGAAUCAUGAAAAUAUAACUAGUUGUGGAAUAAAAUUCAAUAUUUUGGAUACCGAAAUGUAAACAAAGCAUUUGUUUACAUACGGACUGUACCGCAUCUUUAAAGUAUAGCAUUAAUUAAUGAAUGGCAGUCAAAGAAAAGGCAUUGAGUGAUUGAGAAAGGGGAUGCGAUAACAUAAAACUUGAUAAACUUCUUAAUUGUUAAAGAUUGUCA